This 2163-nucleotide ribosomal RNA is filed under the name human gut metagenome. RNAcentral describes it as "bacterial LSU rRNA". It matches the Rfam family "Bacterial large subunit ribosomal RNA", at positions 1 to 2003 of the family's 2925-position model. The record is from RNAcentral.
GUAAGUUAUUAAGGGCACACGGUGGAUGCCUUGGCAUUAAGAGCCGAUGAAGGACGUGUGAAUCUGCGAUAAGCCUCGGGGAGCCGAUAACUGGGCUGUGAUCCGAGGAUUUCCGAAUGGGGAAACCUGGCUCAUCUUCAUGGUGAGUUACCGCCAGCUGAAUGUAUAGGCUGGUUGGGGGGAACGCGGGGAAGUGAAACAUCUCAGUACCCGCAGGAAGAGAAAAUAAAGUAAUGAUUCUGUGAGUAGUGGCGAGCGAAAGCGGAAGAGACUAAACCUGUGGUGUGUGAUAGCGGUUAGGCGUUGCAUCAUGGGGGUUGUGGGAGUCACAGUGGCAGUUCUAACUGGCUGCCGGCAUGAUGUUCAGGAUGGUAGGUGAACGACUUGGAAUGGUCGGCCGUAGAGGGUGAGAGUCCCGUAAUCGAAAUUGUUCUGUCCGUGGUGUGGCCACCCGAGUAGCACGGGGCUCGUGGAAUCUCGUGUGAAUCUGCCAGGACCACCUGGUAAGUCUAAAUACUUCUUAAUGACCGAUAGUGAAUCAGUACCGUGAGGGAAUGGUGAAAAGUACCCCGGGAGGGGAGUGAAAUAGUACCUGAAACCGUGUGCUUACAAGCCGUUGGAGCCUUUUGGGGUGACAGCGUGCCUUUUGAAGAAUGAGCCUGCGAGUUAGUGUUAUGUCGCGAGGUUAACCCGUGUGGGGUAUCCGUAGCGAAAGCGAGUCUGAAUAGGGCGUUUGAGUGGCAUGACCUAGACCCGAAGCGGAGUGAUCUAUCCAUGGCCAGGUUGAAGCGACGGUAAGACGUCGUGGAGGACCGAACCCACUUCAGUUGAAAAUGGAGGGGAUGAGCUGUGGAUAGGGGUGAAAGGCCAAUCAAACUCUGUGAUAGCUGGUUCUCCCCGAAAUGCAUUUAGGUGCAGCGUUACGUGUUUCUUGCCGGAGGUAGAGCUACUGGAUGGCCGAUGGGCCUUCACGGGUUACUGACGUCAGCUAAACUCCGAAUGCCGGUAAGUGAGAGCGUAGCAGUGAGACAGUGGGGGAUAAGCUUCAUUGUCGAGAGGGAAACAGCCCAGACCACCAACUAAGGCCCCUAAGCGUGUGCUAAGUGGGAAAGGAUGUGGAGUUGCUUAGACAACCAGGAGGUUGGCUUAGAAGCAGCCAUCCUUGAAAGAGUGCGUAACAGCUCACUGGUCAAGUGAUUCUGCGCCGAUAAUGUAGCGGGGCUCAAGUACACCGCCGAAGUUGUGGCAAUGAUCUUUUUGGAUUGUUGGGUAGGGGAGCGUCGUGUGGCCGGUGAAGCUGCGGUGUAAACCAGUGGUGGAGGCUAUGCGAGUGAGAAUGCAGGCAUGAGUAGCGAAAGAUGAGUGAGAAACUCAUCCGCCGGAUGAUCAAGGGUUCCAGGGUCAAGUUAAUCUGCCCUGGGUUAGUCGGGGCCUAAGGCGAGGCCGACAGGCGUAGUCGAUGGAUAACGGGUUGAUAUUCCCGUACCGGUGAAAAACCGCCCAUACUGAUAUUGUGAUGCUAACCAUGCGAAGCAUGAUGUGCAGGCUUUUGUUUGUGUGUUGUGUGGGUUGUGGGACCCGAUCUUUGGAGGUAAACGUGUUAACAGGUGUGACGCAGGAAGGUAGCCAAGCCACGCGAUGGUUGUCGUGGUCUAAGUGUGUAGGGUUGUCGGUUGUUAAAUGCGCCGGCUGUGUGCCUGAGACGUGAUGGGACCCCGUUUUUGGGGGAUUUGGUGAUCCUAUGCUGCCGAGAAAAGCAUCGGCGUGAGGUUUUAGCCGCCCGUACCCUAAACCGACACAGGUGAUCAGGUAGAGAAUACUAAGGCGAUCGAGAGAAUCAUGGUUAAGGAACUCGGCAAAAUGCCCCCGUAACUUCGGGAGAAGGGGGACCUUGAGCGUGAUGGGCACUUGCUGCCUGGAGCGUGUAUGGGUCGCAGAGACCAGGGGGAAGCGACUGUUUAUCAAAAACACAGGUCCGUGCGAAGUCGUAAGACGAUGUAUACGGACUGACUCCUGCCCGGUGCUGGAAGGUUAAGAGGAUUGGUUAGCCUUUUUUGGGCGAAGCUGAGAAUUUAAGCCCCAGUAAACGGCGGUGGUAACUAUAACCAUCCUAAGGUAGCGAAAUUCCUUGUCGGGUAAGUUCCGACCUGCACGAAUGGCGUA